This 497-nucleotide ribosomal RNA is filed under the name uncultured bacterium. Its description in RNAcentral is "partial 16S ribosomal RNA". It matches the Rfam family "Bacterial small subunit ribosomal RNA", at positions 28 to 507 of the family's 1533-position model. The record is from RNAcentral.
GAUGAACGCUGGCGGCGUGCCUAAUACAUGCAAGUCGAGCGAACAGAUAAGGAGCUUGCUCCUUUGACGUUAGCGGCGGACGGGUGAGUAACACGUGGAUAACCUACCUAUAAGACUGGGAUAACUUCGGGAAACCGGAGCUAAUACCGGAUAACAUAUUGAACCGCAUGGUUCAAUAGUGAAAGGCGGCUUUGCUGUCACUUAUAGAUGGAUCCGCGCCGUAUUAGCUAGUUGGUAAGGUAACGGCUUACCAAGGCAACGAUACGUAGCCGACCUGAGAGGGUGAUCGGCCACACUGGAACUGAGACACGGUCCAGACUCCUACGGGAGGCAGCAGUAGGGAAUCUUCCGCAAUGGGCGAAAGCCUGACGGAGCAACGCCGCGUGAGUGAUGAAGGUCUUCGGAUCGUAAAACUCUGUUAUCAGGGAGGAACAAAUGUGUAAGUAACUGUGCACAUCUUGACGGUACCUGAUCAGAAAGCCACGGCUAACUACGUG